GAAAAGAAACCAACAGGGAUUGCCUCAGUAACGGCGAGUGAAGCGGCAAAAGCUCAAAUUUUAAAGCUGGCAUCUUCGGUGUCCGCGUUGUAAUUUUGUGAGGCAUCUCCGGGUAGGGCGCCGGCCUAAGUUCCUUGGAACAGGACGUCACAGAGGGUGAGAAUCCCGUGCUUGGCUGGCUGUCCCCGUCCAUGUGAGGUGUCUUCGACGAGUCGAGUUGUUUGGGAAUGCAGCUCAAAAUGGGUGGUAAAUUUCAUCUAAAGCUAAAUAUUGGUGGGAGACCGAUAGCGCACAAGUAGAGUGAUCGAAAGAUGAAAAGCACUUUGAAAAUAGAGUUAAAAAGUACGUGAAAUUGUUGAAAGGGAAGCGCUUGAGACCAGACUUCGGUAGGGGGUGAUCAGCCGUGCUUCGGUGCGGUGCACUUGUUCCUCUCUGGGCCAGCAUCGGUUGAGGCGGCGGGAUAAAGGUCCCGGGAAUGUGGCUCCUUCACGGGAGUGUUAUAGCCCGGGUGAAUGCCGCCAGCUUCGACCGAGGACCGCGCCCGCAAGGGUUAGGAUGCUUGGCAUAAUGGUCUUCAGCG
This 580-nucleotide ribosomal RNA is filed under the name Morchella sextelata. Its description in RNAcentral is "partial large subunit ribosomal RNA". It matches the Rfam family "Eukaryotic large subunit ribosomal RNA", at positions 56 to 646 of the family's 3401-position model. The record is from RNAcentral. Lineage: Eukaryota; Fungi; Ascomycota; Pezizomycetes; Pezizales; Morchellaceae.